GACGAACGCUGGCGGCGUGCUUAACACAUGCAAGUCGAACGGAAAGGCCCUGCUUUUGUGGGGUGCUCGAGUGGCGAACGGGUGAGUAACACGUGAGUAACCUGCCCUUGACUUUGGGAUAACUUCAGGAAACUGGGGCUAAUACCGGAUAGGAGCUCCUGCUGCAUGGUGUGGGUUGGAAAGUUUCGGCGGUUGGGGAUGGACUCGCGGCUUAUCAGCUUGUUGGUGGGGUAGUGGCUUACCAAGGCUUUGACGGGUAGCCGGCCUGCGAGGGUGAACGGCCACAAUGGGACUGAGAGACGGACCAGACGCCUACGGGAGGCAGCAGUGGGGAGUAUUGCACAACGGGCGGAAGCCUGAUGCAGCAACGCCGCGUGCGGGAUGACGGCCUUCGGGUUGAAAACCGCUUUCGCCUGUGACGAAGCGUGAGUGACGGUAAUGGGUAAAGAAGCACCGGCUAACUACGUG
Molecule: ribosomal RNA, 468 nt
Filed under: uncultured bacterium
Lineage: Bacteria
Description: partial 16S ribosomal RNA
Rfam family: Bacterial small subunit ribosomal RNA
Source: RNAcentral